This 324-nucleotide long non-coding RNA is filed under the name Gossypium barbadense (sea-island cotton). RNAcentral's name for it is "long non-coding RNA (GBAR_LNC017740)". Lineage: Eukaryota; Viridiplantae; Streptophyta; Magnoliopsida; Malvales; Malvaceae. The record is from RNAcentral.
ACUAGCCAAAGAUCGCAGCAACUGCCUACUAUCACGCUCUCUAGAUGCUUCAGGAAAACCAUAAAAACCAGUAAGAUACCAAUGAAUAUGGUCAGAAUUCUCAGUAAUUAAAUCGAUGUGAUUUGAAGAAUAACCAAUAGCUGAAACAUUAUCAACAGAAUUCCAUAAAAAAGCAAGACCAUCGCUAUGUCCAAUUCUAUCAACAUUAAAAUAAUGAUCAUACUGCAAAGCCACACGAAGCUCUUCAAUUUUAUUAGAAUGCACUAGCAUUUGAGACAAGAAAAUUGAAAUUGGGCUUAUUAGAAAAGACGAUCUCUUUUAAAG